GAUGAACGCUGGCGGCGUGCCUAAUACAUGCAAGUCGAGCGAACAGACGAGGAGCUUGCUCCUCUGACGUUAGCGGCGGACGGGUGAGUAACACGUGGAUAACCUACCUAUAAGACUGGGAUAACUUCGGGAAACUGGAGCUAAUACCGGAUAAUAUAUUGAACCGCAUGGUUCAAUAGUGAAAGACGGUUUUGCUGUCACUUAUAGAUGGAUCCGCGCCGCAUUAGCUAGUUGGUAAGGUAACGGCUUACCAAGGCAACGAUGCGUAGCCGACCUGAGAGGGUGAUCGGCCACACUGGAACUGAGACACGGUCCAGACUCCUACGGGAGGCAGCAGUAGGGAAUCUUCCGCAAUGGGCGAAAGCCUGACGGAGCAACGCCGCGUGAGUGAUGAAGGUCUUCGGAUCGUAAAGCUCUGUUAUUAGGGAAGAACAAAUGUGUAAGUAACUAUGCACGUCUUGACGGUACCUAAUCAGAAAGCCACGGCUAACUACGUG
RNAcentral lists this ribosomal RNA (497 nucleotides) under uncultured bacterium. RNAcentral describes it as "partial 16S ribosomal RNA". It matches the Rfam family "Bacterial small subunit ribosomal RNA", at positions 28 to 507 of the family's 1533-position model. The record is from RNAcentral.